UUUCAUUUGGAAAGAUGGGUUUGCUAGUUAGCGUAGCGAGCUAAUCACAAGGUCAAAAUAUAGCCAUACUGAUAGAUACACUGCCGAAGGAUUAAGGUGGGCUGAAAUGGUACAGUGAGCUAAAAAGCAGGUAGCGCAAGCUAACUUUGAAUGAAAAUACCUUGAUAAUUCUGAAAGUUUGGCAACAGAGGGACAACUAUGAUAGCAAGUUUACAGCAUAUUUAGUCUCCAGGCAUAUCUUUAUAAAUUUAUUUCAUUUUGGUGUUAACAUAUCAUCUUUAUUUCUCUGGUAGUCACUGUAGAACCAUUUAAGCCCAGCAUGUUCCAUUUAAGCCCAUCUCAUGUGUUUCAAUAGGAAAUUCCUGAAAUUAUGAGUUUGAUAGGAAUUUUUGAUGUAAAGAUUUUGUAAUUUUGUAAUUUUGACUGUAAUCCUGUGAUUUUGAUGUUCUUUUACCUUACUGACUCCAUUAACAAGAGUACAUCACAGAUCGCACACUGGCCAGAAGUAUUGUUAUGCAACCUAAUUUGCAUAAUAAUUUGUUUACAGUGAGAAAAAUGACAACAAAAAGGAAGAAUUACAGCAGUUGUCCUAAAAUCAUUGAGGACAAUGUCGGAGGUUCAUCCUUUGCCGGGCUAACCUGCAGGGUGUGGCCCUUUUCACCUGGCAAACCACCAAGAAAUCGAAAUGCUGUACAAAAAGACACUAAAAGCAAUGAAAGGAAUAAUAGAACCCAAACGCAGAGAGAGGCAGGCAGGCAGGAGGAAGUUGGUCUUGAGGAUUUAUUGUGAACGAAAAACGACAGUACAGAGACUGGAAAAACUCACUGGGAAAACUCACAAGAACAAAAGAACACAGGGAAGAUUCCAACAAAGGCACAUGGCUGAGACACACUGACAGGAACAAGCAGACAGGGCACAAACUGACCGGACGAUGGCACAAAACGAGCUGACAAGACAAAGGAAACACAGAGGCUAAAUAAACUAGUUUCAUGCGAGAAUAUUCCUUGCAGAAUGCAACCAAAUGCAGCCAACAUACCCCAAGCAGAAGAACCAGAAAAGAUGGAGUGGACAAUACUCAACAAAUUUUAUGACAUAAGUUUUCCUGAUGAUGAGCAAUUUUAUCAAACAGAUUAUCUGCUCAUCACCAGCACGCCUGACUCCACUCUUAUUCCAGCCCCUGAGGAGCCCAACCUUUCACUGACUGCACUAAAGUUCACCAUUGCUCCAGUGACAGACCACACAAUUCCUCCAGUCACACCAGACUUCUUUCUUGUUCCAGCCCCUGAGGAGCCCAUUCUUCCAGUGACUGCACCUAGGCCCGCCGUUGCACUACUGGCCAGACCCCACCCUUCCUACAGUCACACUGCACUUCACCCUUGCUUCAGCCCCAGGGGACAACAGCAUGCCCACCAUUGCUGAAGCCACACAGCCCACUCUUGCUCCUCCCCCAGAGACAACUCACAUUAAGAGAGCCCUCUGGGGCAAGUACUGGGACGCGCCAUACACAGAGAAACGUUUCAUGUUUCACAGUGUGAACCAUGCACCAACUGCAAAAGUCUGUGGUGAUGGAAACAUAAGUUGGUGGGGCAGGUCUUUUAUAUACAGGCUAAAUGAUGAAGGCCAGGUCCCACAGCAGGUGUGCAAAAGUUUCUAUCAACUUUAGGGUACCACCAGACUAACGACAGCCUGGUUCUCUCAGUAAUAGGCAAAGAGAUCAUAACCUCUCUUGCUCCACCAAAGGAUCAGAGAGGAAAACAUACACCAGGCAACAAGCUGGACAUGAAACCAUUGCUGGACCACAUUGAGUCCGUCCACCCAACCAACAGCCACUACUGGAGGGAGCGUGCCCCAUGCCGCCGCUACCUCCCCAGCAACAUUAGUGUUAAAUUAUUGUAUGCUGACUAAGUAGAAAAAGGCAACAACUGCUCCUAUGAGUCUUAUCAUAAAGCUGUGAAGUUAGCAACAUAAGCUUUACUAAGCUUGGAGAGGAGGAGUGUGAGAGCUGUCUUCUGUAGCAACAGCACGUGAGGGCUGACCACCAGGGGGAGCCUGCAUCAAAUUGCCCACAGUGCGAGAGGUGGCAAAAACAUAAAGAUGCUGCUGCAGAGAGCCGGUUACACUACAGGUCUGAUGCAGAAAGGGACUGCCCUGAAGAUACUUCAAUCAGAAGUGUAGACCUGCAGAAGCUUAUAAUGCUCCCUAGAAAUCAGCCGUGUUCACAACACGGAUCGUGCCAUAUCAUGAAACCUUUGCAUCAGUUGGGAAAAAGCCGAACAAAAACAAGACCAUCUCUGUUGUUUGGCACGAGGGGAUUGCAGGGCAGAAUGCUAAAGAAAUCACAUUGGCUUAUGCAGCGGCAUUGGAGAAGGAGCGGGACAUCAAGCACUUGGUCUACUGGGUAGACAAUUGUAGCGCUAAAAAUAAAAACUGGUGCCUUUUCUCUUCACUUGUGUCCUUAAUUAAUUCAGGCAACAUCUGUAUAGAAGACAUCACCCUUAAAUUCUUUGAGCCACAUUUACGAGUGCAGACAGUUUCCAUCAUGGUGUGGAGCCGGAAAUGAAGAGCAGACCAGGAGGGGUGGUCUACGAUUUCGAAGACUUCCUCUCUGUGGUGGGAGAUUCCAAUGCAAAGAAAGUUGAGGUGGUGGAGCUCAGAAACCAAAGCAUCAGGGACUGGACAGAUGGCCAUUCUGCAGUUAAGGGGAAGAAGAUACCCAAACUGGCAGAACUUAAAGUUGACCAGGUGGCUCAAGGAGCAUGUUUGCGAAGAUCUCCCAUGAGGAGGAGGACUAUCGAGAGCUGGAUUUCCUGCAAAAUAAAUAUCAACUAAAAAUAUCCACCACUUUAAGGCCACAGGACAUGGGCAUAGAAGAUGUCAAAAAGACAUAUCCUCAAAAAGCUGGUUCCCCUCAUGCCACCCACCAGGAGGCUGUUCUGGAACUCUCUGCCUGUAAGCAACACCGAGGAAUGGAAAUGGGGGAGAAAACAGGAAAAUCACCAAGAGUAAUGGUCCUCAUUGUUUCUUUGAAGAACAAAGGGAACAGUUACAUGUCACAGUUACAUGUUACAGGUUUUACAUUCAUCUUAGUGUUUUCGGAUUGUUUUCUAGAUGUUCUAAAUGCCCAACUCUUUUCUAGUCUUUAUAGUCUUCAAUUAUUUUCUUUUUCUUCCUAUUUUAUGUUUAA
This is a long non-coding RNA of Perca fluviatilis (European perch), 3184 nucleotides long. RefSeq lists it as uncharacterized. The transcript has 3 exons. Lineage: Eukaryota; Metazoa; Chordata; Actinopteri; Perciformes; Percidae. The record is from RefSeq and is a predicted model, not a curated record.